GAUGAAGAACGUAGUGAAAUGCGAUAAGUAAUGUGAAUUGCAGAAUUCAGUGAAUCAUCGAAUCUUUGAACGCACAUUGCGCCCGCCAGUAUUCUGGCGGGCAUGCCUGUUCGAGCGUCAUUACAACCCUCAGGCCCCCGGGCCUGGCGUUGGGGAUCGGCGGGGCCCCCCGUGGGCACACGCCGUCCCCCAAAUGCAGUGGCGGUCCCGCCGCAGCUUCCAUCGCGUAGUAGCUAACACCUCGCGACUGGAGAGCGGCGCGGCCACGCCGUAAAACACCCAACUCUUCUGAAGUUGACCUCGAAUCAGGUAGGAAUACCCGCUGAACUUAAGCAUAUCAAUAAGCGGAGGA
RNAcentral lists this unclassified non-coding RNA (352 nucleotides) under soil metagenome. Its description in RNAcentral is "partial contains 5.8S ribosomal RNA, internal transcribed spacer 2, and large subunit ribosomal RNA". The stretch from base 1 to 120 matches the Rfam family "5.8S ribosomal RNA", at positions 35 to 154 of the family's 154-position model. The record is from RNAcentral.